AUUCCAAUCGAACCCGGAGAUAGCUGGUUCUCCCCGAAAUAGCUUUAGGGCUAGCCUGAGGUAGUAAGUAUAGGCGGUAGAGCACUGAUCGGGCUAGGGGCCGUAAAGGUUACCGAACCCUGUCAAACUCCGAAUGGAUAUACUGUAGAGCCUUGGAGUCAGACUACGAGUGAUAAGAUCCGUGGUCAAAAGGGAAACAGCCCAGACCACCAGCUAAGGUCCCCAAUGUCGUACUAAGUGGAAAAGGAUGUGGGGUUUCAUAAACAACCAGGAUGUUGGCUCAGAAGCAGCCACCAUUUAAAGAGUGCGUAAUAGCUCACUGGUCGAGAGACCCUGCGCCGAAGAUUCCCGGGGCUAAAGUACGAAACCGAAGCUGUGGCUGUAUACGUAAAGUAUACGGGGUAGGGGAGCGUUCCCAUAGGGUAGAAGUCGAACUGGAAGGUUCGGUGGACUUGUGGGAAGUGAGAAUGUUGGUAUGAGUAGCGAAAAGAAAGGUGAGAAUCCUUUCCACCGAAAGCAUAAGGAUUCCUGAGCAACGAUCGUCGUCUCAGGGUAAGUCGGGACCUAAUCCGAGGCAGAGAGCGUAGGAGAUGGACAACUGGUUGAUAUUCCAGUACCGGUAGUAAUUGUUUGAGCAAUGGAGUGACACAGAAGGGCAGGCAAGCAUGCGAAUGGAAGAGCAUGUGUAAGCGUGUAGGGUGGUGCAUAGGCAAAUCCGUGCACUGAAAGCCUGAGGCGUGAUGCGGAGUGAGCAGAGAUGCGAGCGAAGUUGUUGACCCCACACUGUCGAGAAAAGCUUCUAGUGAGAGAGCUACCGCCCGUACCGUAAACCGACACAGGUAUGCGGGGAGAGAAUCCUAAGGUGCGCGGGAGAACCCUCGUUAAGGAACUCGGCAAAAUGUACCCGUAACUUCGGGAUAAGGGUAGCCACUGUUGUGAAGUCCCAUGCGGAUGGAGCAUAGAGUGGUCGCAGAGAAGAGGCCCAAGCGACUGUUUACCAUAAACACAGGUGCCUGCUAAAGCGAAAGCUGACGUAUAGGUGCUGACACCUGCCCAGUGCCGGAAGGUUAAGGAAGGAUGUUCGGAUUAGUCCAAAGCAUUCGACUGAAGCCCCGGUGAACGGCGGCCGUAACUAUAACGGUCCUAAGGUAGCGAAAUUCCUUGUCGGGUAAGUUCCGACCCGCACGAAAGGUGUAACGAUUUGGGCACUGUCUCAACGAGGGACCCGGUGAAAUUGAAAUACCUGUGAAGAUGCAGGUUACCCGCGACUGGACAGAAAGACCCCAUGGAGCUUUACUGUAACCUGACAUUGGGUUUUGAUACAUUACGUACAGGAUAGGUGGGAGGCAUGGAAAGCUGGACGCUAGUCUGGCUGGAGCCGACGUUGGGAUACCACCCUUGAUGUAUUGAAAUUCUAACCGCGAGAGUAACGAAAUCCGGGACAGUGUCAGGCGGGCAGUUUGACUGGGGCGGUCGCCUCCGAAAGAGUAACGGAGGCGCGGCCGGAAAUCGCGCGAAGAGUGUAAAGGCAGAAGGGAGCUUGACUGCGAGUCAAACACGACGAGCAGGUACGAAAGUAGGGCUUAGUGAUCCGGUGGUACCGAGUGGAAGGGCCAUCGCUCAACGGAUAAAAGCUACCCUGGGGAUAACAGGCUAAUCUCUCCCAAGAGUCCAUAUCGACGGGGAGGUUUGGCACCUCGAUGUCGGCUCAUCACAUCCUGGGGCUGUAGUCGGUCCCAAGGGUUGGGCUGUUCGCCCAUUAAAGUGGUACGUGAGCUGGGUUCAGAACGUCGUGAGACAGUUCGGUCCCUAUCCAUCGCGGGCGCAAGAGAUUUGAAGGGGGCUGCUCCUAGUACGAGAGGACCGGAGUGGACGAACCGCUGGUGUACCAAUUAUCCCGCCAGGGGUACAGUUGGGUAGCUACGUUCGGAAAGGAUAAACGCUGAAAGCAUCUAAGCGUGAAACCAGCCUUAAGAUGAGAUCUCUCAUAGAGCAAUCUAGUAAGACACCUUAAAGAAGAUGAGGUUGAUAGGUCGGGAGUGUAAGUACAGCAAUGUAUUGAGCGGACCGAUACUAAUAUGUCGAGGGCUUGACUUA
This 2097-nucleotide ribosomal RNA is filed under the name metagenome. RNAcentral's name for it is "bacterial LSU rRNA". It matches the Rfam family "Bacterial large subunit ribosomal RNA", at positions 826 to 2925 of the family's 2925-position model. The record is from RNAcentral.